GCCGGUUUAGCUCAGCCUGGGAGAGCACUCGACUGAAGAUCGAGCCGUCCGUAGUUCAAAUCUGCGAACCGGCA
Molecule: transfer RNA, 74 nt
Filed under: Halobacteriales archaeon
Lineage: Archaea; Methanobacteriati; Methanobacteriota; Halobacteria; Halobacteriales
Also listed under: 1 other name
Description: tRNA-Phe
Rfam family: tRNA
About the family: Transfer RNA (tRNA) molecules are approximately 80 nucleotides in length. Their secondary structure includes four short double-helical elements and three loops (D, anti-codon, and T loops). Further hydrogen bonds mediate the characteristic L-shaped molecular structure. tRNAs have two regions of fundamental functional importance: the anti-codon, which is responsible for specific mRNA codon recognition, and the 3' end, to which the tRNAs corresponding amino acid is attached (by aminoacyl-tRNA synthetases). tRNAs cope with the degeneracy of the genetic code in two manners: having more than one tRNA (with a specific anti-codon) for a particular amino acid; and 'wobble' base-pairing, i.e. permitting non-standard base-pairing at the 3rd anti-codon position.
Source: RNAcentral